GGAAGCCAACCGGCCGGAUCAGGGGCCCGUCUUGAACACGGGCGACGGGCUGUCCCGCUUGUGGGUUCGAGCCCCACGGCUUCCG
Molecule: transfer RNA, 85 nt
Filed under: Planctomycetaceae bacterium
Lineage: Bacteria; Pseudomonadati; Planctomycetota; Planctomycetia; Planctomycetales; Planctomycetaceae
Description: tRNA-Ser
Source: RNAcentral